RNAcentral lists this ribosomal RNA (101 nucleotides) under Paenibacillus etheri. Its description in RNAcentral is "partial 23S ribosomal RNA". It matches the Rfam family "Bacterial large subunit ribosomal RNA", at positions 2827 to 2925 of the family's 2925-position model. The record is from RNAcentral. Lineage: Bacteria; Bacillati; Bacillota; Bacilli; Caryophanales; Paenibacillaceae.
AGUAAGACCCCUUGAAGACGACGAGGUAGAUAGGUUGGAGGUGGAAGUGCAGUAAUGCAUGGAGCUGACCAAUACUAAUCGGUCGAGGGCUUAUCCUAAAA